CAAUAGCGUAUAUUAAAGUUGUUGCGGUUAAAAAGCUCGUAGUUGGAUAUCUGCUUAGUAUUGACGCAUUAAUUUCUAUAAUUGAUGUCGACCAUAGCUGAGCAUUGUUUGCUGAAGUUGUUAAACUUAAUUGUUUGACGGUAGAAGCAAAACUUCACCUUGAGGAAAUUAGAGUGCUUAAUGCAAGUGUUCUGCUUUGAAUAUUUUAGCAUGGAAUAAUAACUUAGGGCUUUGGAUAUAUUAGUAUUUCUAUGUCCAAAGUAAUGUAUAAUAGAGGUAGUUGGGGGCAUUCGUAUUUAACUGUCAGAGGUGAAAUUCUUGGAUUUGUUAAAGACGAACUAAUACGAAAGCAUUUGACACGGAUACUCUCGUUGA
This 375-nucleotide ribosomal RNA is filed under the name uncultured eukaryote. RNAcentral describes it as "partial 18S ribosomal RNA". It matches the Rfam family "Eukaryotic small subunit ribosomal RNA", at positions 592 to 976 of the family's 1831-position model. The record is from RNAcentral.